This 270-nucleotide ribosomal RNA is filed under the name Gammarus stojicevici. RNAcentral's name for it is "partial 16S ribosomal RNA". The record is from RNAcentral. Lineage: Eukaryota; Metazoa; Arthropoda; Malacostraca; Amphipoda; Gammaridae.
CUAAGGUAGCAUAAUCAUUUGUUAUUUAAUUGAUAACUGGAAUGAACGGUUAAACUAACUUAUUAAGUUUGUAGGGCUUUAUAGUAAUUUAAAGUUAAGGUAAGAAUUCUUUAAUCUUCUAGGGGACGAUAAGACCCUAGAAGCUUAACAAGUCGUUAUUUAGUUUUAAAAAUUUAUUUGUUUUACUGGGGCGGUAAAAAUAAGUAAGCUAUUUAUUAUUUAGGGGAUCCUUAAAAUAAAGAAAAAAUGGGAAAGUUACUCUAGGGGUAA